RNAcentral lists this ribosomal RNA (506 nucleotides) under uncultured bacterium. RNAcentral's name for it is "partial 16S ribosomal RNA". It matches the Rfam family "Bacterial small subunit ribosomal RNA", at positions 29 to 523 of the family's 1533-position model. The record is from RNAcentral.
AGUGAACGCUGGCGGUAGGCCUAACACAUGCAAGUCGAACGGCAGCACAGGAGAGCUUGCUCUCUGGGUGGCGAGUGGCGGACGGGUGAGGAAUACAUCGGAAUCUACUCUGUCGUGGGGGAUAACGUAGGGAAACUUACGCUAAUACCGCAUACGACCUACGGGUGAAGGCAGGGGACCUCCGGGCCUUGCGCGAUUGAAUGAGCCGAUGUCGGAUUAGCUAGUUGGCGGGGUAAAGGCCCACCAAGGCGACGAUCCGUAGCUGGUCUGAGAGGAUGAUCAGCCACACUGGAACUGAGACACGGUCCAGACUCCUACGGGAGGCAGCAGUGGGGAAUAUUGGACAAUGGGCGCAAGCCUGAUCCAGCCAUACCGCGUGGGUGAAGAAGGCCUUCGGGUUGUAAAGCCCUUUUGUUGGGAAAGAAAUCCAGCUGGCUAAUACCCGGUUGGGAUGACGGUACCCAAAGAAUAAGCACCGGCUAACUUCGUGCCAGCAGCCGCCGUAA